Molecule: non-coding RNA, 25 nt
Filed under: Mus musculus (house mouse)
Lineage: Eukaryota; Metazoa; Chordata; Mammalia; Rodentia; Muridae
Source: RNAcentral
GNGAAGCAGGAUGUCCAGGAUCGUG